RNAcentral lists this ribosomal RNA (870 nucleotides) under Bacillus velezensis. RNAcentral's name for it is "bacterial SSU rRNA". It matches the Rfam family "Bacterial small subunit ribosomal RNA", at positions 24 to 876 of the family's 1533-position model. Lineage: Bacteria; Bacillati; Bacillota; Bacilli; Caryophanales; Bacillaceae. The record is from RNAcentral.
UCAGGACGAACGCCGGCGGCGUGCGUAAUACAUGCAAGUCGAGCGGACAGAUGCGAGCUUGCUCCGUGAUGUUAGCGGCGGACGGGUGAGUAACACGUGGGUAACCUGCCUCUAAGACUGGGAUAACUCCGGGAAACCGGGGCUAAUACCGGAUGGUUGUCUGAACCGCAUGGUUCAGACAUAAAAGGUGGCUUCGGCUACCACUUACAGAUGGACCCGCGGCGCAUUAGCUAGUUGGUGAGGUAACGGCUCACCAAGGCGACGAUGCGUAGCCGACCUGAGAGGGUGAUCGGCCACACUGGGACUGAGACACGGCCCAGACUCCUACGGGAGGCAGCAGUAGGGAAUCUUCCGCAAUGGACGAAAGUCUGACGGAGCAACGCCGCGUGAGUGAUGAAGGUUUUCGGAUCGUAAAGCUCUGUUGUUAGGGAAGAACAAGUGCCGUUCAAAUAGGGCGGCACCUUGACGGUACCUAACCAGAAAGCCACGGCUAACUACGUGCCAGCAGCCGCGGUAAUACGUAGGUGGCAAGCGUUGUCCGGAAUUAUUGGGCGUAAAGGGCUCGCAGGCGGUUUCUUAAGUCUGAUGUGAAAGCCCCCGGCUCAACCGGGGAGGGUCAUUGGAAACUGGGGAACUUGAGUGCAGAAGAGGAGAGUGGAAUUCCACGUGUAGCGGUGAAAUGCGUAGAGAUGUGGAGGAACACCAGUGGCGAAGGCGACUCUCUGGUCUGUAACUGACGCUGAGGAGCGAAAGCGUGGGGAGCGAACAGGAUUAGAUACCCUGGUAGUCCACGCCGUAAACGAUGAGUGCUAAGUGUUAGGGGGUUUCCGCCCCUUAGUGCUGCAGCUAACGCAUAAGCACUCCGCAUGG